UNUGACUUGAGUGCAGAAGGGGAGAGUGGAAUUCCAUGUGUAGCGGUGAAAUGCAUAGAUAUAUGGAGGAACACCAGUGGCGAAAGCGGCUCUCUGGUCUGUCACUGACGCUGAGGCUCGAAAGCGUGGGUAGCGAACAGGAUUAGAUACCCUGGUAGUCCACGCCGUAAACGAUGAGUGCUAGGUGUUAGGCCCUUUCCAGGGCUUAGUGCCGGAGCUAACGCAAUAAGCACUCCGCCUGGGGAGUACGACCGCAAGGUUGAAACUCAAAGGAAUUGACGGGGGCCCGCACAAGCGGUGAGCAUGUGGUUUAAUUCGAAGCAACGCGAAGAACCUUACCAGGUCUUGACAUCCCGAUGCUAUUCUUAGAGAUAGGAAGUUACUUCGGUACAUCGGAGACAGGUGGUGCAUGGUUGUCGUCAGCUCGUGUCGUGAGAUGUUGGNNNNNNNNNNNNCNACGAGCGCAACCCUUAUUGUUAGUUGCCAUCAUUAAGUUGGGCACUCUAGCGAGACUGCCGGUAAUAAACCGGAGGAAGGUGGGGAUGACGUCAAAUCAUCAUGCCCCUUAUGACCUGGGCUACACACGUGCUACAAUGGUCGGUACAACGAGUUGCGAGCCGGUGACGGCAAGCUAAUCUCUGAAAGCCGAUCUCAGUUCGGAUUGGAGGCUGCAACUCGCCUCCAUGAAGUCGGAAUCGCUAGUAAUCGCGGAUCAGCACGCCGCGGUGAAUACGUUCCCGGGCCU
This 745-nucleotide ribosomal RNA is filed under the name uncultured bacterium. RNAcentral's name for it is "bacterial SSU rRNA". It matches the Rfam family "Bacterial small subunit ribosomal RNA", at positions 636 to 1381 of the family's 1533-position model. The record is from RNAcentral.